Molecule: non-coding RNA, 220 nt
Organism: Cinara cedri
Lineage: Eukaryota; Metazoa; Arthropoda; Insecta; Hemiptera; Aphididae
Source: the annotation of a GenBank genome assembly
CACGCCGGAACUUGCUGAAAUUCCCGACUCAUCACGUCUACCUACGUCAUCCGAUACGAACUACACGUCCGUUUUCACUCCGGAUCGUUUCCUUACAGGUGAUUCUCCGUUGUCAAUAUCUGAACCCGAUUUGUCAAACAUUUCUACAAGCCAGAUAGCGAGUUGGCGCAGCAUAACUCAAUAGGUAUUCGCAAGUUAUUCGGCAAAAGUGGAGCCAUGG